UUGAGACCAACAACUCAGAUUUGCUGUUCGGAGUUAAGAGUUUGCCAUGGUAUAGAGUGAAGAUAAUUUGACCGCCACAGGAAUUCAGCUUCUGAUUGGGGCCUUGCUGUGUUCUAAUCAACGAAACUAAUGAACUAUAUACACUAGCCCACUCUAUGAGACGGAUUGAAACUCUAAGAAGGUACCAAGUAACCGCUCCCCAACUGUAAGGAAAACUGUGUAUGAGUGGAAUUAGAAAGAGGAAAAAGACCAAGUGAAGUUUAAUCACUCAUCAUGAGUGGUAUUAGAACCAUUGAGAAAAUUAUCGAGAAAAUGACUUUCCUUCUAAAAGGUAAACCCUGUCAACAGCAGGAGGUAAAAACCCCAGUCAACAGCACUGAGUGAAAGAAAAGUCUCCACAUCUGGAAAGAACAGCAAUGAAGAACAGGAACUGGUGCAUUCAUGCUCGGCUCCUACCGGGCAUGUUUCGUUUAAUUUCCUCCGUUUUUAUGACACUUUCCUAUGCUGCUACCCCAGACGUUCAAUGAAACACCUCACUGCCGAUAAACUGUAGGGGAAGGAAAAUCAAAGAAAGUCUGACUGAAGGUCUGAGUGUGAGAUCACCACAACCAUCAGCAGAGGCAACAGGAGCGUAUGUUCAGGCUUCUCAGAACCACUUCUCUGGGGUCUCAUCUUGGUCUCUGUUUAUAAACUCUGCUGCCUUUUGCACCUCUGAUCCAUCGCCAGGCAGACUGGUGCGCUGUCCUACCUGUGCUUGUCUUCUGUAGCCUGUCUUCCUCCGUAAUGUCAGAAAGAACACAAAGGGCCCUAUCACUGGUUCAGUUUUCCGUACUUCACCCAUAAAGUCUGCAAUCAAUCAGUUUUUCCCCUGAGCAGGUGAGA
This is a long non-coding RNA of Balaenoptera ricei (Rice's whale), 882 nucleotides long. RefSeq lists it as uncharacterized. The transcript is spliced from 4 exons. Lineage: Eukaryota; Metazoa; Chordata; Mammalia; Artiodactyla; Balaenopteridae. The record is from RefSeq and is a predicted model, not a curated record.